This 360-nucleotide ribosomal RNA is filed under the name uncultured Oscillospiraceae bacterium. Its description in RNAcentral is "bacterial SSU rRNA". It matches the Rfam family "Bacterial small subunit ribosomal RNA", at positions 1023 to 1382 of the family's 1533-position model. Lineage: Bacteria; Bacillati; Bacillota; Clostridia; Eubacteriales; Oscillospiraceae. The record is from RNAcentral.
UACGAUCGGUGACAGGUGGUGCAUGGUUGUCGUCAGCUCGUGUCGUGAGAUGUUGGGUUAAGUCCCGCAACGAGCGCAACCCCUGUUGUUAGUUGCCAUCAUUAAGUUGGGCACUCUAGCGAGACUGCCGGUGACAAAUCGGAGGAAGGUGGGGAUGACGUCAAAUCAUCAUGCCCCUUAUGUCCUGGGCUACACACGUACUACAAUGGCUAUAACAGCAGGGAGCUAAGGAGUAAUCCCGGAAGCGAAUCCUCAAAAAUAGUCCCAGUUCGGAUUGUGGGCUGAAACCCGCCCACAUGAAGUCGGAAUUGCUAGUAAUGGCAGGUCAGCAUACUGCCGUCGAAUACGUUCCCGGGCCUU